This is an RNA transcript of Cucumis melo (muskmelon), 3145 nucleotides long. It is a transcript of the gene named two-component response regulator ARR12, with no coding region annotated. The record is from RefSeq and is a predicted model, not a curated record. The transcript is spliced from 6 exons. NCBI's taxonomy places the organism in Eukaryota, Viridiplantae, Streptophyta, Magnoliopsida, Cucurbitales, Cucurbitaceae.
AGUGGAACAGAGUUUACCUUAAAGCAAUUAUAAUAAGACAAUGGUGGAAAAAAGGAAGAAGGGUUUUGCUUAAAAUACUCAAAAGAUUUCUGUUUUAUUUGAUUCAAUUCAAUUGAAAAAAAAGUUAUUGAUUUCAUUUUCAUCAUCAUCUUCUUCUUCUUCUUCUUCUUCCCUCCCCUCUGUUUUGAGCCAUCGCCAUCAUUGGCCAUUUUCUACAGCUUUACUUUCUGUAAUCUCCUUCUUCUUCUCUUGAUUCUGCCCAAUCAAUCUCUUUCUUUCCCUAACCUCCAUCUGGGUUUUUGAGAAAAACUAAAGAGGGCUCGGAAAACUUUGUACCCACUUGAAAAUUUUCGAUUUUCGAUCUCGUUUCACUGUUCUUUCUCUUUUUCUGUAAGAUUUCAACGAACCCCUUUUUCUUUUCUUUCUUUCGCUAUGACUGUGGAGGGUCAUUCUGUUGCUGUAGUCGGUGAUGAUGGGGCUACUGAUCAUUUUCCUGUUGGGAUGCGUGUUCUUGCUGUUGACGACGACCCUAUUUGUCUCAAAGUACUCGAAUCUCUCCUCCGUAAAUGCCAAUAUCAUGUUACAACGACGAAGCAGUCCGUUGAGGCUUUGAGGAUGUUGAGAGAAAAUAGAAACAAAUUUGACUUGGUUAUCAGUGAUGUGAACAUGCCUGAUAUGGAUGGUUUCAAGCUUCUUGAGUUGGUGGGGCUUGAAAUGGACCUACCUGUAAUCAUGUUAUCAGCACAUAGUGAUACUGAGCUUGUUAUGAAGGGGAUUGCACACGGUGCGUGUGACUAUCUGUUGAAACCAGUUCGAAUCGAGGAGUUGAAAAACAUUUGGCAACACGUGAUUCGGAGAAAGAAGCUUGAACCGAAGGCGAAAAACAAGUUCCCUAGUCAAGAUAAGGUUCGAAAUGGAGGCAAUGAAGUUGAACAAGGUUUCUCACCGACGAGUAAUGCAGACAGUGCAAAAUUCAACAGGAAACGGAAGGACCAAGAUGAUGAUGACGACGACGAAGGAAAAGAGAAUGGGCUUGAUAGUGACGACCCCUCGAACCAGAAAAAGCCUAGGGUAGUAUGGUCAGUUGAGUUGCAUCGGAAGUUCGUUUCGGCGGUUAAUCAGUUGGGUCUUGAAAAGGCCGUGCCAAAAAAAAUCCUGGAUCUGAUGAAUGUUGAAGGACUUACCCGAGAAAAUGUGGCAAGUCAUUUGCAGAAAUAUAGGCUUUAUCUGAAAAGAAUCAGCAAUGUGGCAUCCCAACAAGCUAACAUGGUUGCUACAUUUGGGAGCAAAGAUGGCACUUACAUGCGAAUGGGUUCACUUGAUGGAUAUGGAGACUUACACGGCUUUGCAGGAUCAGGGCGGCUUCCGAACUCUUCGUUGUCCUCUUAUUCACCUGUAGGAAUGCUUGGAAGAUUGAACUCCCCGGCUGGAAUGAACCUGCGUGGAAUCACUUCAUCUGGACUGAUCCAGCAAAACUCCCAAAAUUUGAACUGCGCCAUUAAUAACCUUGGCAAACUCCAACCAACUACAAUGUUGUCUCCUAACCAAACUACUAAUCUGUUGCAAGGGAUUCCAACAUCACUUGAGAUCGGUCAGUUGCAACACAGCAAGUCCACCACUUCCAUUGGAGACUUCAAUACAAUGAAUGAGACUUCCGGGUUUGGAGUUCCCAACAGUUUUCCUGAAGCUAGAGCAAAUAUUGGAAAUUCAACCUAUUCGGUUUCUCCUGCCCCAUUGGUGUUACAAGGAACGAUGCCAACAUAUGGAAAUCAGACCUCCCUUAGAGUCGAUCCGCUAAAUGGAGAAACUUUUGACAUAGAUGUUGGUGGUUCAAACUUUUUGGAUCCUGAUCCUUCUAAUGGAAACUGGCAGGGAGCAGCACAUUUGUCUAGAUUCUCAGCAACUUCAUUGACCACCAAUGAAGCUUAUCCGAGUGAUCAAUUGCAUUCAAUGAACUCAGGCAUUUCUUCUACCCCCUCGACGAUCGGGAACAUCUCGGUUGAUUUUUCCUCUAGAAGUGCAGGUUCAGCUUCCUUACUGGAUUCAAGAGACGUCCAAUGCCAGGCAGGGGUAGUUGGCAGUGUUAUUCAAUCUAUGAAUACCAUGCCAAAGCAGAGUUGGGAAGAGCAUAAACAUGGCUACAGUCGAAACAUGCAGCAUAAUCUUGGUGCAAUCAAUUCUCUGGUUUCCAGCGAUGGGAGUCCAACCCCCUUAAACCAGAGUUUCAAUCAGAAUAGUGUCGUACGUGAUAGAAAGGUUGGUUCAUCUUUAAUAGUCCCAUCAAAUGUUGCGUCACUGUCCUUCCCUCAACAUGGUGUGGUUGAAAAAUUGGGUCCCAACACAAAGACAAAUGUGGAUGGAAACUACCUUUUGAAUCAGAUGAAGUCACACGAUGGAUCAAUUCAAGGCAGUUUCGAGUCCUUGGAUGAUAUAAUGAAUUCGAUAAUCAAACGGGUAUAGUCAAAUUUCUCGCUAAAUAUUUAGAUACUGGAUUCUGAUGUGCCUUCAAAUUUUCAAUUUUUCUCAAAGUUACUUUUAUGUGAAAAUUCUCCUCCCUGUUGAAAUUGGCACCUGACAUAAUUAUAUAUAUAGAAAUUCCUUUCUUUUGAAUGUUUGUGCUGUUUUCCUAACCACUUCUGCUAUGAUUGUGUCAACUUGUUGCUUGCUGUUAUAGUGAUACAAAUACAGAUUGGUUUACUGCAAUCAAGUUUGCCAAACGCGGAACAAAAUGAAAUACCAGAAAUGAAUGAAGAAUUUGGAUUUGAUCAUUUCUAUCUAGGAUCAUGUAUUUGAGACCUCUACCUGCUGACUGUUGGAUGGAAACACAAAGGCAUUAAUGGCAACACGGUGAUCCGAAAGCAGUUCGUGUACGUACCAUAAUGUAAUUCUUCGUCAGUUUGGUUUGUUUCCACAAGGUUCCAUCUGUAUCUGUUCAUCUAUUUACUGAUGCAAAACAUCUGGUUUCGAGGUCAUAACGAAACGGCAGACAUGCCCCUCCUUUUCAUUGUUCAUAAAAUAAUGACAAGACAACUUCCCAAUCUUCUCUUAGUCGUUUUUCUGUUGUCCUUUGAGAAAGAAAGUAUUAAAAUGUAACAUGAAGGCCUACUCUUUGAUUAAUUAAUGCAGAUUUCCAAUGUUUCUUUCA